This is a long non-coding RNA of Scophthalmus maximus (turbot), 378 nucleotides long. RefSeq lists it as uncharacterized. Lineage: Eukaryota; Metazoa; Chordata; Actinopteri; Pleuronectiformes; Scophthalmidae. The transcript has 4 exons. The record is from RefSeq and is a predicted model, not a curated record.
UCCGUGGCGACGCUACAGAGGAGAGACAUAGUACAUCACACCAAUCGGCAACACCCAUGUUCCACGGGUUAAAGAACCAUGUAUAUUGGAGUGCAACCUAUUCAACCUCAGGGCCUGAGAAGGUGGCCAACAACAUUCAAAACAUCCAUGGGCAUGAAGAUCCCCUCUUCCCCAAACACAAAGAAGGGUGAAGCCACCACAAAGCCUGUUAAAACAGAACCCACAUUCAACGUAUCGAUUAUAGCUGCAUUUACAGUGGUGCUGUUUGCUCGAGGGAAAAGUUUCGUCUGGGACUGGUGCAUCUGGCAAGAACUUGAAUUUGUUCCUCCGCUGACCAUAACCGAGAAGCUGCACCAAGAAGUAUGGUGAAGAUUACAC